This 465-nucleotide ribosomal RNA is filed under the name Escherichia coli. RNAcentral's name for it is "bacterial SSU rRNA". It matches the Rfam family "Bacterial small subunit ribosomal RNA", at positions 30 to 483 of the family's 1533-position model. The record is from RNAcentral. Lineage: Bacteria; Pseudomonadati; Pseudomonadota; Gammaproteobacteria; Enterobacterales; Enterobacteriaceae.
AUUGAACGCUGGCGGCAGGCCUAACACAUGCAAGUCGAAUGGUAACAGGAAACAGCUUGCUGUUUCGCUGACGAGUGGCGGACGGGUGAGUAAUGUCUGGGAAACUGCCUGAUGGAGGGGGAUAACUACUGGAAACGGUAGCUAAUACCGCAUAACGUCGCAAGACCAAAGAGGGGGACCUUCGGGCCUCUUGCCAUCAGAUGUGCCCAGAUGGGAUUAGCUAGUAGGUGGGGUAACGGCUCACCUAGGCGACGAUCCCUAGCUGGUCUGAGAGGAUGACCAGCCACACUGGAACUGAGACACGGUCCAGACUCCUACGGGAGGCAGCAGUGGGGAAUAUUGCACAAUGGGCGCAAGCCUGAUGCAGCCAUGCCGCGUGUAUGAAGAAGGCCUUCGGGUUGUAAAGUACUUUCAGCGGGGAGGAAGGGAGUAAAGUUAAUACCUUUGCUCAUUGACGUACCCGCA